UAAGGCUUUAACGGAAGUGAGCUCACACUACUCCGGAAGGGAAGGCGGGAAGAGAGCAGGCGGGUGGGUGACCCGCUGUGGGGCUGUGGGUGGGGCGGCGGCCACGGUCCUGGUAUUCACGUUUGGCUGGCCAGAGGGUGAGGGAUUCUCCCGCCCCUAGAAACCCAGCCGAGGAUCACGACCCAGUGGCGUUGGACGAAGUCGCCCCUGAACAGCUCGCCUCUGGACGAAGGAGAGGUGGCCCGGGGAGCCGGCAUCCCGCCCCCGGUGGCCUUCUUCCCGACUCUCCUCCGGUGCUGCUCGCGCCAGCCCCUGUUCCUUCUCGUGUCUGCGGCGGGAACCGCCGAGCUGGCUGGACUGAAUCCUCCCCCUUGAGAGUCGGCCAGAGGAGAAGAGCAGGGAGCGCGGUGGGUCAGCCCCGCAGCCCUGAGCACCUACAAAACUCCUCUACGGAGUUGUUCUCUCCGGCCCGCGAAGGGCAGAUGGACUUUGGAGUUAAGAUGCAGGGGAGUGAACCAGUGUCGACAAUGAAAGUCUCCGAGAGUGAAGGAAAGCUGGAGGGCCUGGCCACAGCCGUGACCCCGAAUAAGAACAGUAGCAACAGCAGCUGUGCUGGUGGAAUCAGUAGCAGCAGCAGCAGCAGCAGCCGCGGUGGCAGUGCAAAAGGCUGGCAGUAUAGCUCACAGGUCAAGUUCAAACAUAGCCCCAGAGAUGGGAGUAACCUGCCAAGAGCCAACCUGUUUACUGCAAGAACCCUGCCACACCGAGAAGCAAACACCAAAACAAGACUCCUUCCAUACUGAAUCUUUACACCUACGGAUCAUCUGUAAAUAAAAGGGGGAGAGGCUUUUCUUUGUUAGAAGCCAGACCCCUCUGGUCGACCCCUCAUGC
Molecule: long non-coding RNA, 891 nt
Filed under: Ictidomys tridecemlineatus (thirteen-lined ground squirrel)
Lineage: Eukaryota; Metazoa; Chordata; Mammalia; Rodentia; Sciuridae
Description: lncRNA (ENSSTOG00000030687.1)
Source: RNAcentral